Molecule: long non-coding RNA, 765 nt
Filed under: Parus major (Great Tit)
Lineage: Eukaryota; Metazoa; Chordata; Aves; Passeriformes; Paridae
Description: lncRNA (ENSPMJG00000011387.1)
Source: RNAcentral
AAAGAAACAAAUUCAAUGUGUUAUUGAAGGUUAUUCAAACACCAAAGUUUUCUAGAGCUACAAAGUUUUGUAGCUCUAGAAACUCGAAUAGAAUAAUUUGCAACACACUUCGAUGUCCUUCAGCCUCUUGCAAAGUUAAAUGCUUCCAACAGUGCCUUGCUUUUGCCAUUUUCUAAGGAAUCUUGGGAUAAAUAGCCAACUCAUUUAUAGGUAGUCAGGAAAAGGUGUAUUGAUUAGAUGGACUGGAGGCUGGACACAGCUGUCAGCAAUCCAAAGAUGCAACAUGCAGACUGACCUUUUGCUCCAAAAUUUAAAAUCAAAAUGCAGCUCCUCUCUGUGGACAUGGAUGGAUCCAGAAUGGAAGAUAAGUCUGUGAGGUCCAGUGAAUCUUGGAGCUGUGUGUGUGGGUGCUUCCCUGAAGGAGUUUCCAGUGAAAUAGAUACAGCUGAGCUGACUGCAGCACUUCUUUCUAGAGCAGAGCUGUCAAGAGGAUGAAUGAAUACUAUGGUGCUGCUUGGUGCCCACUUCAGAGAGGCAAUCCUGUUCCUCCUAGUCAGUAGCAUGACGUUUUCUUCUCUGAACUGAACUGGAUUUGUAAGCCCUUAAUGUUAAAAUUUUUGUCUAAAAUUAAUAAGCAUCCACCCCCUUAAAAAUCUCAUUAAAAUUUGUUUUUGGCAGGUUGCCUCCCAGAGUCUUGACAGCACUUUGGGUGCUGAUGAUCUGAUCAGAGUGUCUUCUCAUUCCCUCCUCCUUCCCCAUCUGUUU